This 65-nucleotide transfer RNA is filed under the name Dexiogyia corticina. Its description in RNAcentral is "tRNA-Gly". The record is from RNAcentral. Lineage: Eukaryota; Metazoa; Arthropoda; Insecta; Coleoptera; Staphylinidae.
AUUUAUAUAAUAUAAAUAUUAUAUUUGAUUUCCAAUCAGAAAAUCUAAUUAAUUUAGUAUAAAUA